GGCAAACACAGACAGUUUCUAGUUGCAAGAUAUCUCCCAUGGCAGGGAAAAAAAAAAUUCUUCAGGGAUGCAGACAAUCCAGGAAUUGGUAAUAAUCCACUGACCUUUCUAGGAAGUAAGAGCAAAGAACAAACAGGUUAGAUUCUGAGAGGCUGUUUCUAAGUUUGAUGGUUUUUUUCCUAAGCCUGAGGCACUGAGAAGGGUUCAAGCUUGUAUUCUCCAGAUGCAAGCCAACCUAUUGCUGCAACUGACAAAUAAGUAUAAUACUGACACAAAUGUGGGCUGCUUUUGUUUGUGUGUGAAGACAUAUGUCAGAACUCCACUCAUCUGUCAAUGAUGGUGCGAAUAAAGCCCGAUUUCCACCGGCAGCUAUUAUAACCAGGAGAGGAUCCUGCCUUUGGCUAAGGCCAGUGGAAAGGAAGGCAAAUGGAGAGAAAGAAAGAGCCUGAAUCUUUGAGCUGUCACUCAGUUGCGAUCAAACUGCCUAGAACUCACCCCACCUCUGAUCUCCUGCUCGGACAAAAAUAACUCAAGCUCCCAUUGUUCAAACCAGCUUGUGUCAUGGUUUCUGAUGUUUAUAACUAAGACCAAUUCAAACAAUACAAUAUUUUAAAUCUUUAUUAUUUUUUAAGGAAACAAUAGCUUAAGGGUAAAAACUCAUCUCUAAUUGUAAAAAAAAAUAUAUCUCUAAUUGUAGGCUUUUGAAGUUAGGGUCAGUAUUUUUAGAUAGAAUCUUUCAAAACUCAGGAGAGAGACUCAGCUUAUUUCAUCUGUAUGAUGAGGAUGUCUCCUUUAUUCUUUUUCCUAUCACACUUAUGCCAGGCUUUCUUUCAAAACUUAACUCACCCAGCUCCUUGUCUUUGAAAGCUUCUUUUAAUUCUUCUCCCACAUUCCCCAAAACCAAGUCAAUUCUCUCCCUCAGUGCCCUCAUGUGUAUAAAUUGCAUAUCGUAUGGCAUUUUUUUCACAUCUGUAAGACUCCCAAUUUCCCAAAGG
Molecule: long non-coding RNA, 995 nt
Filed under: Pongo abelii (Sumatran orangutan)
Lineage: Eukaryota; Metazoa; Chordata; Mammalia; Primates; Hominidae
Description: lincRNA
Source: RNAcentral